RNAcentral lists this ribosomal RNA (292 nucleotides) under uncultured bacterium. Its description in RNAcentral is "partial 16S ribosomal RNA". It matches the Rfam family "Bacterial small subunit ribosomal RNA", at positions 505 to 796 of the family's 1533-position model. The record is from RNAcentral.
GUGUCAGCAGCCGCGGUAAUACGAAGGGUGCAAGCGUUGCUCGGAAUUAUUGGGCGUAAAGGGUAGGUAGGUGGUAAUAAAAGUCUGGGGUGAAAUCCCUGAGCUCAACUCAGGACGUGCCUUGGAAACUUUAUUACUAGAGUGCUGGAGAGGUCCGCAGAAUUCCCGGUGUAGCGGUGAAAUGCGUAGAGAUCGGGAGGAAUACCAGAGGCGAAGGCGGCGGACUGGACAGUCACUGACACUCAACUACGAAAGCGUGGGUAGCAAACAGGAUUAGAUACCCUGGUAGUCC